GUCUUCACAAGCUGGCCAGGUUGGGAUAUAUGGUUAUACAGCUUAUUCGGCCAGUAAGUUCGGCCUCAGAGGACUGGCAGAAGCACUGCAGCAGGAAGUAAUUGGUGAAAAUAUUCACGUAUCACUAAUAUUUCCCCCGGACACUGAAACUCCUGGAUUUGCUGAAGAGAACAAGAGGAGGCCAAAGUUGACUAGUAUAUUA
RNAcentral lists this unclassified non-coding RNA (202 nucleotides) under Hevea brasiliensis (rubber tree). Lineage: Eukaryota; Viridiplantae; Streptophyta; Magnoliopsida; Malpighiales; Euphorbiaceae. The record is from RNAcentral.